UUGGUGUCUGCUUCAUCCUGGAGCAUAGU
RNAcentral lists this non-coding RNA (29 nucleotides) under Mus musculus (house mouse). The record is from RNAcentral. Lineage: Eukaryota; Metazoa; Chordata; Mammalia; Rodentia; Muridae.